This is a non-coding RNA of Aegilops tauschii subsp. strangulata, 4048 nucleotides long. Lineage: Eukaryota; Viridiplantae; Streptophyta; Magnoliopsida; Poales; Poaceae. The record is from RefSeq and is a predicted model, not a curated record.
AGCGAGCCAAGCCUUUGCCCUCGAGCGACGCCACACCAGCUCCUUUGCCCACGCAGCCGCCGCCGAUCCCCUCCCUCAAACGCCGCCGCCCGUCGCUGCCGCCCCCGCCACCUCCCGUCGCGGGCAGGCGGGAGGAGCCCUGCCCGGCCAUGGCGACACCGCCGGCGGCCUCCUCCUCCCCCUCACCUUCUCUCCCUCUCCCAAGGGAGGGAAGGGAAUGGAAGGGAUCUGAUUGGAGCGGUGGAUCUGCGCCCUUGCCGUCUCUUCUUUUCUUCACCGAUUCCAGGAGGAGAUCGAAGUGGGAGGUAGACGAGCAGGAGCGCCGCGUCCGCGACAGCGAUGAACGAUGACCCAGGUUCUCCUCUCCCAUGGCAGGGACACCAACUGGUGGCGCAACGGACAGCGGGAGAUCGGCUGGUGGCAACGGAUGGCAGGAGGCCGCAGGACCGUGCGAGGAGCAGGUAGCCGGAGGAUGUCGCCGGUGGAAAUCUGGCAAGUGGCGGCGGCAUAGAGGGCUUUAUGGUUUGAUGUUGGUCUUUUUAUCUAUAGCACUGAAUUUCAUGUAUAGGUUGUGCUGAUCCUAAGAUUGCCAAAAACUGCUUUGUAAAAAUCACCCAGGUCUGCUUUUUAUUGUGAUUAUGCAAAUUGCUCGAAACCUGAGUUGUCCUAUUUUGUUGAUGAAGGAAUUGAAAUCUGAAGACAUGGUGAUUUUUACCCAAUGUGUUAUGCCCUUGAGCACGAAGAGCUUUUGAACUCUGAGGUUCAGGACCACGCGUGCUUCUCACAUUUAUUGAGACAGAGAGUAUUAAUCAAAAGCGGUUCAAGUUUCCACAAUGAGCUAUACAUCAUCUAAACUCACAUGGAUAUACCAGGUCUGCCUUUCCCUACAAUUUAAGCCUUUGUUUUGGCAGGUAUCAAUCACCUGGUGCUAAACUUGGUGCUUAAUGAUCAACUAGAACAAAGUUUCAUAGCCUUCCAGAUUUGUCAAAUCUACAAUAACAGGAUAAUUCCUGUUAGACAUGUUAUUCUACUGGUACAUGUCAUAUAACGAAAUUCUUGUAUUUUGGAAGGAGAAAACAUUGAGUGGAGCAAUUAUGCAAUUCAAGUGGCAUGGUCAUCAAAGCUUUUGUUUUUUCUUAAUCGUGACAUGUGUUAAUAUUGUGCAAAUCAUAAUAUCAUUUUUUAGGUUUGCAAAUAAAAUUAACCUGAAUAAAGUAUUUUAAACUUAGUGAGCAUAAUAGUGUUUUGUAGUGUGAGGAUAAUAAGGUGAAGUGAGGCUGCUGCUCGCCGGUGGCUCGCCGGCCAUCCGAGAGCCGGAAUUGCGGCCCCACGCGAGGGAAAGAUCAGCGUUGCUGCAACCACGGCAGGACACCCACCAUGCGCGUACCAUACAGGCAGCAUCAGCCUCACUUCACCUUGGAUGACAUUGCGAUUAUGAAAUAUUCAGUCAUUCUCCUUGGGUCUACCUGUUGGACACUUGGACCUACUCAUGUGUUUGAGAUGAUUGUGCAGAAAAGCUGAAAAAGGGGAUAAAAUUCUAUGUGAGAGAUGACCGCUAAAGGAGUGCGACGCCACCAUCCUGUGCCACAAACCAUACCAAGAAUGGCGGGUUAUGGAUAGAGUUCAUUUGAUCCAUCUGAUAAAAAUACCAAUUGGGGAAUAAGCAUGAAAAGUAAUCAACCACUCUUUCCGCAGUGGAGUUCGGGUAUGCCUGCUCCUCUAUUUAUUUGACUAUUGUUAGAUUGGUUCAUCCUGGUAUGACAUGUUAAUGAAGGUGUUGUUUCAUUCCUCAUACGAUCUGGAUACCUUUCAAUUGAUUAGUUCUUCUUUUGGAUUACUCUAUAUUAAUUCCCUAUGUGUAUCUUUAUUAUGUUCCUCAAGACUGAGUAAGAAAAUUAUUUUGUUGAUAUUAAUUUCAAGGGAACAUGGUACCCUACGACACAGGAAGAUUACUGAAAAUCAGUUCAAAAUCUAAUCUUCUCUGUUGUCUGUACUGCAGCCGUGAUGAUCAGAAGUUUAGGACCACACUGUAGUAAAAAAAAAGGAAUGAUCUUCGUAAGCUACACCCUUUUGAUCCCAAUCUUACCUUUUUUAAAUUAGUUUUGUUAGUGCUUCCAUUACUUUCUGUUAAAAUAUGCUUAAUGGGCUAGAGACUGUAUAUUUUCAGAAAGUUAUAGUGUGUGGUAUGUUUGCUGAACUUGUGAUGACGGUUCUUCAGGCAGGACUUUCGUCCCUAUAUUUUAACUUUGAACAUCAUUAUAUUUAGACAAAUGAUGUGUUUACUGAAUUAUCGUUGUUUAAUUUUUGAAGUUAUGCCUUUCGUAAUAUUGCAUUGUAGAUAGACAAAAAGAUAUAGGUAUUAAAUUUUGUGGCUCUAGCAUAAAUGUUUAUCACCACGGUGACAUUUGUUUUUCAAUUUAGAUAAGAAAAAAGAGAUAAGUACUGAACAGAGAGUAGAGAGGAUAAGAGCAUUGUAGUUCAGCGUGGUUCAUGCCAAAGACUGUGAUACAUAUAAUUUCUUAGGAUAGUGCAAAUUCAUUGAUGAUGCAGCGGAAGUAACACAAGUUCUGCUAGAAUUUCUCUCACAUAACAUGCAUAGAGGUGAGUUUUGCAUAAUCCAUCUCAGUAACAAGCUUGCAUUGAGUUAUUCUUUUCAAGAAGCUUACCAUGCACAACUACAGGAUACUUGUAGUUCUCAGUGGCAAUUGAUAGCUACAUUCUUCAAUGGGAGACCUAGCAUGCCUUGAGUACAACAAUACAUGAUCUUCUGGCAACAAACUGUUCAUGAUUGACGCAUAAUAUGUCCUCUGUCCGCAUUUUAAUUAUUUAUAUUAAUAUUUCUGGUUAUCACUGAAGAGUUGAAAUGGAUUUGAUGAGGGAAGUCUGCAAUGCAGACUGUGUUAAGUGUACCCGCUCCAGAUUUCAUCAACAGUAAAUGGUCCACUCCUAUUGGCAAGUGCCUUCUUGUACUCUUCUGACCCAGAUUUGGCAUGUUUUUCAUUUUCUACUAUCAUCGCGUAGUUGCACAAAAAUACGUAAGAGCAUGGCUCAAAACCCACAGAGAGGCACAACUUUGAAAUGGUUUUAUUUAAACAAUGAAACAAUGUUAUUUGACUGAAAAUCUGUAGUAUAUUUUGAUUAUGGGGACACAGCUGAAAUGUAUACACCAAGAAAACAUAACUCUCUUCAGUUGAAUUUUAAAUUCAUGUUGUGGAAAUCAAAUCCAUUUCAAAUUCCAUGAUUUCGGCUAGAAUGAUUUCGGUUAUGUCCCGUACAAGGAGAUUAUCUUAUAGGACAGGCAUAUCAGCCCCCAUUCAGACAUAGCAGAUAUUCAACAGAAGAAGUUCCUCCACUGCUACUGGCCAAACUCUAAGCAAAAAGACCUUCCACUUUCCUUGCUGAUGGUGAGCAACUCAAAGAUGGCUACAAGGUUACACUUAAUAUUUACUCUCUGAAUAACAUAUUAUUUAUGUGACCAAUACAUGUAUAAAUGCCUUGAGAGAACAUGUAUAAAUGCCUUGAGAGAACAUGUAUAUAUAGCUGCAUAUAUGUUAUAUCUGAACAAUGGCAGAUUUGACCAUUAAUUACAUGUAUAUACUUGCUAGGAGAGAACGUGUAUAGCUUUCAGUUAAGCUUUUCGAUCAUUAAGCUGUUACUUUCUCAUCUUAUUUCUAGGUAGAAACAUUAUUGGUGUUCUUUAGCUUAAUUUUGAAACAUGAACACCAUCAUGUCUUCAUCGCUGAAAGUGACAUUCUUUCCCAUUAAUCUGUGCACUCGAAAAUUAUUCAAAUAUAUAUUUCCACUUGGUAGUUUUCAUAUGUCCAAUGGUCUGACGGGUGUGCAUUUUCAGGAGAGUUAGCAAACCUUUUUCCAGUCAUCUGGUGCAUGUAGAUACCAAGUGCUAUUUGAAAUGAAAAUGCAGUUGGCUGCCAAUUUUAUCUUGCGUGUAUGACUGAAUUAUUUUGUCCUGUUAGUUUUAUGUCUAUAUAUGCAGUCUAGUCAGUAUAUGGAUAUUUUAUUAAGUGGAGAAGUUUGGUAUUCUGAGUAA